CAGAACGAACGCUGGCGGCGUGCUUAACACAUGCAAGUCGAACGCGAAAGGGGCUUCGGUCCUGAGUAGAGUGGCGCACGGGUGAGUAACGCGUAGAUAAUCUGUCCUUGUGUCUGGAAUAAUACGUCGAAAGGUGUACUAAUACCGGAUAUUCUUGCUUUUCAUAAGUUAGGCAAGCAAAGGUGGCCUCUGAUUUAAGCUACUGCAUGAGGAGGAGUCUGCGUACCAUUAGCUAGUAGGUGGGGUAAUGGCCUACCUAGGCUACGAUGGUUAACGGGUCUGAGAGGAUGAUCCGUCACACUGGCACUGGAACACGGGCCAGACUCCUACGGGAGGCAGCAGUGAGGAAUAUUGCGCAAUGGGGGCAACCCUGACGCAGCGACGCCGCGUGAAGUGAGGAAGGCCUUCGGGUCGUAAAGCUCUGUCAAAGGGAAAGAAGUGCAUAGUGGUUAAUACCCAUUAUGUUUGACGGUACCCUUAAAGGAAGCACCGGCUAACUCCGUGCCAGCAGCGGC
This 515-nucleotide ribosomal RNA is filed under the name uncultured bacterium. RNAcentral's name for it is "bacterial SSU rRNA". It matches the Rfam family "Bacterial small subunit ribosomal RNA", at positions 25 to 518 of the family's 1533-position model. The record is from RNAcentral.